AGCAGGUCAAGCACUACGUUACUGGGAUCUAAGCAUUUACAAGGAAUUAAUCUGUGUUUCUGAAGUAUACUGCUGCAUCAGUAUGAUCCUCUCUCCUUAGAAGGGGCAGAGGAGGAAAAAAAAGAACUGUUAAAGCUUUGAUUUGACUUGAAGGCAAAUGAAACUGAUGAACUUAAAGGGCAUUUAGCAGGUUUGUUUUCUGAAGAAAUAGGAUCUUAGGCUGGUCAAAGAAAUUGAGACCAUUCCUGGGUUCCGCCGCAUCAUCUUUUCAGAGCUAGAAAAAAGUGUGCAGUGUUACUAUUCUGGAAUGGGCUGGUUUUGUUAUUCAUAUUAUUAAGCUUUUUUUUUAGACUGUUUUCACUCAGAGCUGAGGUUACUGAAAUAUUGCUUGAAGUCAGAUGUUCCUGGGAAUAUUACCAAAGAUUUUGUGUUAUUCUGGAUGUAGAUACUUCACGGGUGAAAACAAGCUAGAGUAGUUUCUAUUGGCCAUAGACAAGGCACCAAUCUAUUUGUUUGAGUGUGUUUGUUCUUUCUACAACUUUUGAUACAGGUCAGCAAAUCUAUUAAUGUCACCUGAUAAGCAUGGCCUUUAUAAAUUAAUGAUCACAUGCCCUUGGAAACCAAGUGUUUGUUUAAUUUAAAACAGAAGUUCUUAUUUCAUGAGGGUGGGUUCCAUCAAGCUGGAGGCAGUCAACUACAUAUUAUCUUUAUGCUGCAGUAGUUCAGAGAGUACAAGGUACAUCCUGGAAAAUAUUUAAGUCCUGUGUUAAUUGUUGGCAUGACAUAUUUCAACAUUUUAUUGUGUCUCUUGGGGUGGAAAUGUAUAGUACGUUCUUCCAAAAAUAGAUAAAAGACAACAAACAUGUGAAGAACAAGAGUAUUAGAGUCUUUUUUUCAGAAAAGCAGUGCUAGUGCACUCAGUAGUGAAACUGCUCCCUUUUUCCUACUAUUCUUCAUAUUUUAUCACAGGUACUGAUGGAACUGGAAAGAUAUUACUACCUAUGAAAAUGUAAAUAUCAUUUUUUCUCCAUUUUAAAAAAAAAUUAUCCAUUACUUAAGACAUAUCUUCAUGUGCUUUAUGUUUUCAGGAGAAAUAGUAGCUUUGCUAAACUACCAAAGCAUGGGUCUACCACUGCUUGAGGUGUGCUUGAGCCUUGCUAAACUUAUCUUAAAAGCCUUUAUGCUAUCCAUGUUUAUGCUUACCUAAAAAACUUGAACAGUACUUGAGUUAAUCUCAUG
Non-coding RNA from Coturnix japonica (Japanese quail), 1239 nucleotides. The record is from RefSeq and is a predicted model, not a curated record. Lineage: Eukaryota; Metazoa; Chordata; Aves; Galliformes; Phasianidae.